AUGCCCACUUCGGCAGCACAUAUACCAACAUUGGAACGAUACCAGAAGAUUAGCAGGGCCCCUACUCAAGGACAGCAUGCAAGUUCAUGAACUAUUCCAUGGUUUG
Molecule: small nuclear RNA, 106 nt
Organism: Nycticebus coucang (slow loris)
Lineage: Eukaryota; Metazoa; Chordata; Mammalia; Primates; Lorisidae
Source: RefSeq, a predicted model, not a curated record